This 459-nucleotide ribosomal RNA is filed under the name uncultured bacterium. RNAcentral describes it as "partial 16S ribosomal RNA". It matches the Rfam family "Bacterial small subunit ribosomal RNA", at positions 338 to 795 of the family's 1533-position model. The record is from RNAcentral.
CCUACGGGUGGCUGCAGUGAGGAAUAUUGGUCAAUGGUCGGGAGACUGAACCAGCCAAGCCGCGUGAGGGAGGAAGGUACAGAGUAUCGUAAACCUCUUUUGUCAGGGAACAAAGACUGGGACGCGUCCCCGGAUGAGUGUACCUGAAGAAAAAGCAUCGGCUAACUCCUUGCCAGCAGCCGCGGUAAUACGGAGGAUGCGAGCGUUAUCCGGAUUUAUUGGGUUGAAAGGGUGCGCAGGCGGCCUGUUAAGUCAGCGGUCAAAGCCCGGGGUUCAACCCCGGCCCGCCGUUUAAGCUGGCAGUCGCGAGUUGGAGAGAAGUAUGCGGAAUGCGCGGUGUAGCGGUGAAAUGCAUAGAUAUCGCGCAGAACUCCGAUUGCGAAGGCAGCAUGCCGGCUCCACACUGACGCUGAGGCACGAAAGCGUGGGUAUCGAACAGGAUUAGAUACCCCAGUAGUC